Molecule: ribosomal RNA, 514 nt
Filed under: uncultured bacterium
Lineage: Bacteria
Description: bacterial SSU rRNA
Rfam family: Bacterial small subunit ribosomal RNA
Source: RNAcentral
AACGCUGGCGGCGUGCCUAAUACAUGCAAGUCGAACGGUCUUUCUAUGGAAGCUUGCUUCCACUGAGAAGAUAGUGGCGAACGGGUGAGUAACACGUGGGUAACCUGCCCAUAAGAGGGGGGAUAACAUCCGGGAACGGGUGCUAAUACCGCAUAGUUUUCUUGAUCGCAUGAUCGGGAAAGGAAAGACGGCCUUUGUGCUGUCGCUUAUGGAUGGACCCGCGGCGUAUUAGUUAGUUGGUGAGGUAACGGCUCACCAAGACGAUGAUACGUAGCCGACCUGAGAGGGUGAUCGGCCACAUUGGGACUGAGACACGGCCCAAACUCCUACGGGAGGCAGCAGUAGGGAAUCUUCCGCAAUGGACGAAAGUCUGACGGAGCAACGCCGCGUGAGUGAAAGAAGGUUUUCGGAUCGUAAAACUCUGUUGUCAGAGAAGAACAAGUUGGAGAGUAACUGCUCCAGCCUUGACGGUAUCUGACCAGAAAGCCACGGCUAACUACGUGCCAGCCGCCGC